RNAcentral lists this microRNA (21 nucleotides) under Callorhinchus milii (elephant shark). RNAcentral's name for it is "eshark_mir-146_2". The record is from RNAcentral. Lineage: Eukaryota; Metazoa; Chordata; Chondrichthyes; Chimaeriformes; Callorhinchidae.
UGAGAACUGAAUUCCAUGGGC